CUGAAUAGUUUGCACAAGAAAUGAAAUUAUCGCACUUAUUCCACAGAUAUAGCCAUUGAGGGAAUGAAGCCAAAAUUCCAUCAUCUUUGCAAGAGAAGUUUUUAAGGACUCACUUAACCCUGUGAAGCUUCUGUCCACAAGCUCAUGGUCUUUUGCUUCGCUCUGAAAAGAACAAACUGAGAUUAUUAACCUUUGCUUAAUCUGACUACACAGCCUUAUAGAAAAUAAAAAGCAUUCUAGCCACUGAAUCCUUCCAGGAGAAAAAAAAAAAAAAAAACGAGCUGAAGACAGCCUUCAUUCCAAGAGUAUUUUGGGCCACUGAUUUUUAUCACCCAGAAAUCAAUCAGAAGGGCACACAAUGCCUAGAAAUCCCAAACCAGCUACUACAUCUAAGAGGUUCAUGAAUGAAGGCCACGGUGUUUGUGAAUACAAGAGAAGAGAGAAAAUGUGUCUCGCUAGCAAAAUUCAAAGGAGAUGCCCAUCAAGAAGAAAACAAAAGCUUUCCUCUGACACCAUCUGGCAUAAGAAAGACCGUUGCUGUGGGUGUGUCAUCAGAUCAGUGGACAAGAAGGUUGUUGGGGCAGGUAAGAUACCCAAGUCUUCUGAUAAAAAACUCAGUAGACUAAAUGAAUAUUAUCCCCAAUACUUGCCACCCAGUCUUAAUCAGUGGUGGAAGGUCUAGAACUGCUUGUCUCCAUUGGCCAAUUAAGUUUAAUGGUAAAGUCUGGUUAAUAAUAAUAAUGCAAUGUAAAACUUUCAGGGAGAAAAGAGGAUGUUUUGUGGAUCAUUUGUUGUUGUUGUUGUUGUUGUUUUCCUGUGGCAAAUUUACAUUGCUAGUUUUUAAAAUCAGUACUUUUUAAUGGAAACAAUUUGACCAAAAAAUCUGUCACAGAAUUUUAAGACCUAUUAAAAUAAAGCUGACUGAGAAAAAAUUCUGGGUAAAAAG
RNAcentral lists this long non-coding RNA (946 nucleotides) under Felis catus (domestic cat). RNAcentral's name for it is "lncRNA (ENSFCAG00000043597.2)". Lineage: Eukaryota; Metazoa; Chordata; Mammalia; Carnivora; Felidae. The record is from RNAcentral.